Molecule: ribosomal RNA, 274 nt
Filed under: uncultured bacterium
Lineage: Bacteria
Description: partial 16S ribosomal RNA
Rfam family: Bacterial small subunit ribosomal RNA
Source: RNAcentral
AUACGGAGGGUGCAAGCGUUAUUCGGAAUCACGGGGCGUAAAGGACGCGUAGGCGGGUUGGCAAGUCAGAUGUGAAAUCCUACAGCUUAACUGUAGAACUGCAUUUGAAACUGCUAACCUAGAGUAUGGGAGGGGGAGAUGGAAUUAGUGGUGUAGGGGUAAAAUCCGUAGAUAUCACUAGGAAUACCGAAAGCGAAGGCGAUCUCCUGGAACAUAACUGACGCUAAGGCGUGAAAGCGUGGGGAGCAAACAGGAUUAGAUACCCUAGUAGUCC